GACGAACGCUGGCGGCGUGCUUAACACAUGCAAGUCGAACGGAAAGGCCCUGCUUUUGUGGGGUGCUCGAGUGGCGAACGGGUGAGUAACACGUGAGUAACCUGCCCUUGACUUUGGGAUAACUUCAGGAAACUGGGGCUAAUACCGGAUAGGAGCUCCUGCUGCAUGGUGGGGGUUGGAAAGUUUCGGCGGUUGGGGAUGGACUCGCGGCUUAUCAGCUUGUUGGUGGGGUAGUGGCUUACCAAGGCUUUGACGGGUAGCCGGCCUGAGAGGGUGACCGGACAGUGUGAGGGUGAGACGCGGCGCACGCUCCGAGGGGGGGGGGCAGUGGAGCACGGGGGAGAAGGGGCGUAGGCCGCAGGCGGACGCGCCGGGUGCGGGAGGAGGGCCGUCGGGGUGGUAGCAGCGUUCGCCUGUGCCGAGGGGUGAGUGAGGGUAGUGGGCAAAGAAGCAGCGGCUAACUACGGGCCAUAAGCCGGGCUAAUAAGCGGACGAGCACGCGCUUGAUC
Molecule: ribosomal RNA, 509 nt
Filed under: uncultured bacterium
Lineage: Bacteria
Description: partial 16S ribosomal RNA
Rfam family: Bacterial small subunit ribosomal RNA
Source: RNAcentral